This 468-nucleotide ribosomal RNA is filed under the name uncultured bacterium. Its description in RNAcentral is "partial 16S ribosomal RNA". It matches the Rfam family "Bacterial small subunit ribosomal RNA", at positions 28 to 507 of the family's 1533-position model. The record is from RNAcentral.
GACGAACGCUGGCGGCGUGCUUAACACAUGCAAGUCGAACGGAAAGGCCCUGCUUUUGUGGGGUGCUCGAGUGGCGAACGGGUGAGUAACACGUGAGUAACCUGCCCUUGACUUUGGGAUAACUUCAGGAAACUGGGGCUAAUACCGGAUAGGAGCUCCUGCUGCAUGGUGGGGGUUGGAAAGUUUCGGAGGUUGGGGAUGGACUCGCGGCUUAUCAGCUUGUUGGUGGGGUAGUGGCUUACCAAGGCUUUGACGGGUGGCCGGCCUGAGAGGGUGACCGGCCACAUUGGGACUGAGAUACGGCCCAGACUCCUACGGGAGGCAGCAGUGGGGAAUAUUGCACAAUGGGCGGAAGCCUGAUGCAGCAACGCCGCGUGCGGGAUGACGGCCUUCGGGUUGUAAACCGCUUUCGCCUGUGACGAAGCGUGAGUGACGGUAAUGGGUAAAGAAGCACCGGCUAACUACGUG